This 575-nucleotide ribosomal RNA is filed under the name Russula sp. RNAcentral's name for it is "SSU rRNA". It matches the Rfam family "Bacterial small subunit ribosomal RNA", at positions 352 to 965 of the family's 1533-position model. Lineage: Eukaryota; Fungi; Basidiomycota; Agaricomycetes; Russulales; Russulaceae. The record is from RNAcentral.
CAGUCAAAAAUAUUAGUCAAUGCUCGAAAGAGUGAACUAGCUAACUGAAAUCAAUUCUAAAAAUUGAUAACAUAAGGGAAAAUAAUGAUAUUACCUUAUUAUUAGUGUCGUCCAAAACUGGUGCCAGAAGACUCGGUAAGGCCAGAGACAUAAACGUUAAUCGUCUUAAUCAGGCGUAAAGGGUUUGUAGGCGGCUUUUAAUUAAUUUAUAAAUCUGAAAUAAAGAUAAAUAAAUUAAGAAUAAAAGCUAGAAUCAAAUAGAGGAUAUAUGAAAUAAUGCUUAGAGUAGGUCUGAUAUCCUUAAAUACUAAGUAGAAUAUUAAAGGCGAAAGCUUUUUUCCAUUAAUGAUUGACGCUCAGAAACGAAGGUGAGGAUAGGAAAUAGGAUUAGAUACCCAAAAUACCCCUCUCUGUCAACGAUGAAUGGUAGUUAUUAGUAAUAAAUUUAUUAAUGACAAUGUUAACACAAUAACCAUUCCGCCUUGUGAGUACAACUGCAAAGUUGAAAACAAAAAAAUUAGUCGGUUUCGGAGCAAACGAAGUGAAGCAUGUUAUUUAAUUCGAUAAUCCGCAAA